This 512-nucleotide ribosomal RNA is filed under the name uncultured bacterium. RNAcentral's name for it is "partial 16S ribosomal RNA". It matches the Rfam family "Bacterial small subunit ribosomal RNA", at positions 28 to 523 of the family's 1533-position model. The record is from RNAcentral.
GACGAACGCUGGCGGCGUGCCUAAUACAUGCAAGUCGAGCGAAUCAAUAGGAGCUUGCUCCUGUUGGUUAGCGGCGGACGGGUGAGUAACACGUGGGCAACCUGCCUGUAAGACUGGGAUAACACCGGGAAACCGGUGCUAAUACCGGAUAAACCUUUUCCUUUCAUGAGGAAAAGCUGAAAGUCGGUUUCGGCUGACACCUACAGAUGGGCCCGCGGCGCAUUAGCUAGUUGGUGAGGUAACGGCUCACCAAGGCGACGAUGCGUAGCCGACCUGGGAGGGUGAUCGGCCACACUGGGACUGAGACACGGCCCAGACUCCUACGGGAGGCAGCAGUAGGGAAUCUUCCACAAUGGACGAAAGUCUGAUGGAGCAACGCCGCGUGAGCGAUGAAGGCCUUCGGGUCGUAAAGCUCUGUUGUUAGGGAAGAACAAGUACCGGAGUAACUGCCGGUACCUUGACGGUACCUAACCAGAAAGCCACGGCUAACUACGUGCCAGCAGCCGCCGCAG